CACAUUCUCUAGGAGUUGGAACUCAGUUUCCAUCCAUGUCCUGCCCUGGGCUGUGGCCUGUCCAUCCCAACCAUGGCUGGUCUGGGGAUUAAUUUAUCCUUCUGGGCUUGAGAUACCAAACAAGUAACCCCUGCCCUCAAUGGAACCCCAGUGGUACACUUCUCACCCAGGGAAUUCUGGAUUUCGACGAGAGACCCAUUCUCCUGAGGAGCCUGAGCUCUACACGGCCGUGGCUGAAGCCCCUCCACAGGGUUCCUCUGGGGCCCUUGGCAAGGUGUACAUCCCUC
Fukomys damarensis (Damara mole-rat) is the source of this 287-nucleotide long non-coding RNA. RefSeq lists it as uncharacterized. The record is from RefSeq and is a predicted model, not a curated record. The transcript is spliced from 3 exons. NCBI's taxonomy places the organism in Eukaryota, Metazoa, Chordata, Mammalia, Rodentia, Bathyergidae.